Molecule: ribosomal RNA, 733 nt
Filed under: uncultured Actinomycetes bacterium
Lineage: Bacteria; Bacillati; Actinomycetota; Actinomycetes
Description: bacterial SSU rRNA
Rfam family: Bacterial small subunit ribosomal RNA
Source: RNAcentral
UGGGAGCGAGCAGGAUUGAUACCCUGGUAGUCAUCCGUAAACCUUGGAACUGAUGUAGGCCUUUCACGGUUUUGUGUAGCUAACGCAUAAGUUCCCCGCCUGGGGAGUACGCCGCAAGGCUAAAACUCAAAGGAAUUGACGGGGGCCCGCACAAGCGGGGGGAGCAUGCGGAUUAAUUCGAUGCAACGCGAAGAACCUUACCAAGGCUUGACAUAUACCAGAACUCCCUGGAAACAGGGGACUCUUUGGACACUGGUAUACAGGUGGUGCAUGGUUGUCGUCAGCUCGUGUCGUGAGAUGUUCGGUUAAGUCCGGCAACGAGCGCAACCCUCGUCCUAUGUUGCCAGCGGGUCAUGCCGGGGACUCAUGGGAUACUGCCGUGGUCAACACGGAGGAAGGUGGGGAUGACGUCAAAUCAUCAUGCCCCUUAUGUCUUGGGCUUCACGCAUGCUACAAUGGCCGGUACAGAGGGUUGCGAUACCGCGAGGUAGAGCGAAUCCCAAAAAGCCGGUCUCAGUUCGGAUUGGGGUCUGCAACUCGACCCCAUGAAGUCGGAGUCGCUAGUAAUCGCAGAUCAGCAACGCUGCGGUGAAUACGUUCCCGGGCCUUGUACACACCGCCCGUCAAGUCAUGAAAGUCGGUAACACCCGAAGCCGAUGGCCUAACCCUUGUGGAGGGAGUCGUCGAAGGUGGGACUGGUGAUUAGGACUAAGUCGUAACAAGGUAACCGUAA